UACGUAGGGGGCAAGCGUUGUCCGGAAUCAUUGGGCGUAAAGAGCGUGUAGGCGGCCAGAAAAGUCCGUUGUGAAAACUCGAGGCUCAACCUCGAGCUGUCGGUGGAAACUUUCUGGCUAGAGUCCGGAAGAGGAGAAUGGAAUUCCUGGUGUAGCGGUGAAAUGCGCAGAUAUCAGGAAGAACACCCGUGGCGAAGGCGGUUCUCUGGGACGGUACUGACGCUGAGACGCGAAAGCGUGGGGAGCGAACAGG
RNAcentral lists this ribosomal RNA (253 nucleotides) under uncultured bacterium. Its description in RNAcentral is "partial 16S ribosomal RNA". It matches the Rfam family "Bacterial small subunit ribosomal RNA", at positions 524 to 776 of the family's 1533-position model. The record is from RNAcentral.